AAAGCUCAAAUUUAAAAUCUGAUAGUCUUUUGACUGUCCGAGUUGUAAUCUAAAGAAGUGUUACCUGUGCUGGACCAUGUACAAGUCUUCUGGAAUGGGGCAUCAUAGAGGGUGAGAAUCCCGUCUUUGACAUGGACUACCAGUGCGUUAUGGUAUGCUCUCAACGAGUCGAGUUGUUUGGGAAUGCAGCUCAAAAUGGGUGGUAAAUGCCAUCUAAAGCUAAAUAUUGGCGAGAGACCGAUAGUGAA
Molecule: ribosomal RNA, 248 nt
Filed under: Inocybe sp.
Lineage: Eukaryota; Fungi; Basidiomycota; Agaricomycetes; Agaricales; Inocybaceae
Description: partial 28S ribosomal RNA
Rfam family: Eukaryotic large subunit ribosomal RNA
Source: RNAcentral